RNAcentral lists this long non-coding RNA (238 nucleotides) under Mustela putorius furo (domestic ferret). RNAcentral describes it as "lncRNA (ENSMPUG00000030847.1)". The record is from RNAcentral. Lineage: Eukaryota; Metazoa; Chordata; Mammalia; Carnivora; Mustelidae.
GUUACCAGCAUGACUGAGAGCCUGCAGAAAGCUUUUCAUAAACUCUGCUGUAAGGAAGAGGAUUUCAAGAUCACAGACCAAGGACAUGGUGAUGGUGGUAACUGCUCCCCUCUCACAAGCCUGGGGGUCCUUUAUAACCUGCCACAUUAUUCCGGGGAGCUUGACGCAGACAAGGACGCUCUCUCAUCAUUGAUACUCCCCCAGCUCUUCACCCAGUAGCCAACUAACAGUAAAUGCU